Molecule: small nuclear RNA, 107 nt
Organism: Mustela putorius furo (domestic ferret)
Lineage: Eukaryota; Metazoa; Chordata; Mammalia; Carnivora; Mustelidae
Source: Ensembl
GCGCUUGCUUCGGCAGCACUUAUGCUUAAAUUAGAACGAUACAGAGAAGAUUAGCAUGAACCCUGUGCAAAGAUGACAUGUAAAUUCAUGAAGCAAUCUGUAUAUUU